ACCCGCUGAACUUAAGCAUAUCAAUAAGCGGAGGAAAAGAAACCAACAGGGAUUGCCUCAGUAACGGCGAGUGAAGCGGCAACAGCUCAAAUUUGAAAUCUGGCCCCCAGGCCCGAGUUGUAAUUUGUAGAGGAUGCUUCUGGCGACGCGCCUUCCGAGUUCCCUGGAACGGGACGCCAAAGAGGGUGAGAGCCCCGUCCGGUCGUGCGCCUAGCCUCUGUGAAGCUCCUUCGACGAGUCGAGUAGUUUGGGAAUGCUGCUCUAAAUGGGAGGUAUACGUCUUCUAAAGCUAAAUACCGGCCAGAGACCGAUAGCGCACAAGUAGAGUGAUCGAAAGAUGAAAAGCACUUUGAAAAGAGGGUUAAAUAGUACGUGAAAUUGCUGAAAGGGAAGCGCUUAUGACCAGACUUGGGCUUGGUGAAUCAUCCGGCGUUCUCGCCGGUGCACUUUGCCGGUCCAGGCCAGCAUCAGUUCGCUUCGGGGGAUAAAGGCUUCGGGAAUGUAGCUCCCUCGGGAGUGUUAUAGACCGUUGCGUAAUACCCUGGGGUGGACUGAGGUACGCGUUCUG
Molecule: ribosomal RNA, 568 nt
Filed under: Geosmithia sp. MK1782
Lineage: Eukaryota; Fungi; Ascomycota; Sordariomycetes; Hypocreales; Bionectriaceae
Description: eukaryotic LSU rRNA
Rfam family: Eukaryotic large subunit ribosomal RNA
Source: RNAcentral